AACGCUAGCUACAGGCUUAACACAUGCAAGUAGAGGGGCAGCAUGAAUAAAGUUUCGGCUUUAUUUGAUGGCGACCUGCGAAUGGGUGAGUAACACGUAUCCAACCUGCCUGUUACUGGAGGAUAGCCUCCCGAAAGGGAAAUUAACACUCCAUAUUAUAUAGAUGAGGCAUCUUGUUUAUAUGAAAGUUUCACGGUAACGGAUGGGGAUGCGUCCCAUUAGAUAGUAGGCGGGGUAACGGCCCACCUAGUCGACGAUGGGUAGGGGUUCUGAGAGGAAGGUCCCCCACAUUGGAACUGAGGCACGGUCCAAACUCCUACGGGAGGCAGCAGUGAGGAAUAUUGGUCAAUGGGCGAGAGCCUGAACCAGCCAAGUAGCGUGCAGGAUGACGGCCCUAUGGGUUGUAAACUGCUUUUAUACAGGAAUAAAGUUAGCCACGUGUGGCUAUUUGUAGGUACUGUAUGAAUAAGGACCGGCUAAUUCCGUGCCAGCAGCCGCGGUAAUACGGAGGAUGCGAGCGUUAUCCGGAUUUAUUGGGUUUAAAGGGAGCGUAGGCCGUCUGUUAAGCGUGUUGUGAAAUGUAGAUGCUCAACAUCUGAAUUGCAGCGCGAACUGGCAGACUUGAGUGUGCGCAACGUAGGCGGAAUUCGUGGUGUAGCGGUGAAAUGCUUAGAUAUCACGAAGAACUCCGAUUG
RNAcentral lists this ribosomal RNA (695 nucleotides) under uncultured bacterium. RNAcentral describes it as "bacterial SSU rRNA". It matches the Rfam family "Bacterial small subunit ribosomal RNA", at positions 32 to 715 of the family's 1533-position model. The record is from RNAcentral.